Molecule: long non-coding RNA, 3343 nt
Organism: Tyto alba (common barn owl)
Lineage: Eukaryota; Metazoa; Chordata; Aves; Strigiformes; Tytonidae
Exons: 2
Source: RefSeq, a predicted model, not a curated record
GUGCGCUUAGCGUGAGGUUCUUUCCGCUUCCGGGGAGCGGCCGCUCGGCGGGCGGGGAAGCAAUGGCCGCGCUUGCUCUUCUGCUCCUCGCUGUGGGACGCGGAGCCGAGCGCUUCCCCCUCUGUCCUCACCGCCGCUUCCAUGGCGUGGCCGGGGCGCAGGCCGAGCAGGGCCCGGGGGCCUUCGCGGAGCCGUGAGGGCGGUGCGCUGGGGGGAGGCUGUGGUGGAGGCGCGGGGUGUGCUGACAACCGCCUGCCCCCCCCCCCCCCCUCCGGGGUGAGGUUUGGGUUUGAUCCCGCCGGCUCCUCGGUGGUGCGGGCUGGGGGCGAACCGGGAGCCACAGCUCUGGUAACGGCUGCUCGAAACCCGGGGAGAACCGGGCUGCGGGGGGCGGUGCAUCGGCUGCCUGCGCUGAGGGAAACCCUGCGGUGCUGAAGCGUGUUCGGGGGUGCGAGUUGCAGCGGUUGGGAGCGUGUCCUCAGGGGGUCAGAGCCGUUCAGCCGGCACGUUUUGUCACUGGGGGCAGGCAGGGCGUGCUGGUAGCUUUGCGUCUGUCCUCACUGCCUCCACUUGCUCGGGUUUGGUUGAUUUUUUAUUUUUUUUUUUUUUUUUUUAAUGGGGCGAAGCAGGAGGUUUGUGUCACCGAGAAACUAGCAGUUCUUGGCAUGCUUUGCUUCGGAGCUGGGAGAGGAGACCCGAGGAACCGGUAGCUUUUGGCACGGCUUGGUCUGUCACUGGAGCUGCGAGGGGGGGGAGCGGCUGCAAGAUGGAGCGGCGGGAGGAUGAUGAGGCUGGCUGGCUGCGUGUGCGGGAGAGCUGGUUCAGCUGGUGCUGGAAGAUGCGCAGAGCUGCCCAGCAUCAGCCAGGGAAGCGUGGAAUUUGGAAGAUGUCCUGUAAGCAGCCAUGUGCGCAGCCAGCUUUGAGCUCCUGGGCAGGCACCCGUUUCUUUCCAAGAACUUGGAGCGGGGCGUGGAGGUCUCGUACAGCAGCUGGGUCCAUCCUAUAAUGAUUUAAAUCAUCUGUUGAGAAGAAAUAUUAAUGGGACUCCCAUAAGACUCCUGACAUUUUGCUGAUGUUCCUGUUAGAAGACCUAUCACCUCAUUUUGAAAACAGUAAUAAAAGCACCAGUAUUCAAACUGCAGGGCUUAAAUGCUAACAGUCAAAAAUUAGGUUACUUCCAGGCAUUCUGCUGCUGAACAGAAUUGCUCGUUAUGAAUUGGUGGUUUGAGGUCCUUAUAUAUUGCACAAGAAGGUAGAUAUUUAAGAAUGAUACUGUCAACAGAAAGUUGUUUGUUAGUUUUGUUUUUAAAAGGGGAAGGGGUAAAUUAUCUGGUGAGAAAGAUCAGAAGAAAAGUCUCAUUUCAGCUUAUCAGAACAGGACACCUCUUCGUGUCCAGGUCAGAUACCUGUGUGUCUUUCUGACUUGUGAUAGUGCCUUGAAACGAAGUCCCUUAUCACACUUUAACAAUUGAGCGCUACUUAGGUGGUUUUGUUGUAUCUUGAAGCUUUUUAGUGGGAUGGCUUGAGCUCCAGCUGUUCUGCAUGCCUGGUAAAUAAUUUCAGCAUACCAUCAAAGCAACAUCUGGCAGCACCAGCAUAUCCUCAGUUUUGAGAAUAUUAAGAAUGCUUAAAAUGUACCUACAGUUCUGGACUGCACAGUUGAAGUUUGUGUGGGAUGCCUAAAUUGUGAACGCUGAAGAAAUGUUUGUGAAAAGUUCCUGGUUAUUUUAAAGAUGUGCUAAUUUGUAAAAGUUGUGCAACAAGUAGCAGAAAUGUGGAAGUGCCAUGGGAGUUUUACUGGUGUAGAAACUGAGGUCUUACGGGACAUUGACAUUUUGGAGUCUGAACUGUAUUUUAACUUCCUGGUUUGGAUCUAAUCUGGAGACCCAUAAGCAAGUUUGUUUCUGAACAAGAUGGAUAAUUACAUAAUAUUUAUGGAUUUAUAGUGUAUUCUCAAGAGGAUAUUUGUGUUAGCUUUAAAAUACAACAGUCCAUAAAUGACCUGAGCCAGUUUAACUGAUGGGUGUUCUACAUGAUCUAAGGCAGUUUUUUUACUUAGAUCAUGUAAGGACGCCUUUGGCAGAGAGAGGCCAUGCUAGUAAUCAAAAGAAAAAUGUUUGAUUCCUACCAUUAACAAAUAGAAUGGAAGAUCGUGUUCAGUCUGGAGUGUGGACCUUUAAACAAGACACUCUAGACUUCAAAUUUGCUUCUCAGUGCCACAGACCUCGAUAUAUGCCUCUUUGCAGUAACACUGUGAAUUGUGAAGCUGUCCUGGAGCAAGAACGUGUAGUAUGACCCUUGUAAUAGAGGAGUAGAAUUGUUCUUUGGGAUACGCAAGCUUCUUGCAGGUAGUCUUCCUUGCUAGAGUCUGUUAGAUCUUUGUUCCUUAUUUGCAGGUGGUAGUGGUGCUUGAGUCUUUCAGUGCUACAGAGGAAGCGUACUUUUAUAUACAUCUAACAUCUCUGCAAGGCUAAGAAAUGUGACCUCUCAUGAGAACACCUCUUGCCUCUUUUCACCCAUGAGUUAUGAAUGCCAGAAUGUUUUAUGGGCCUGAAAAAAAAGACUGGGCAAACUCAAGAACGUAGAGUUGAUCUGCAAAAUACAAAGAUUACUUCGUAUUCCUGUUACUGGAACAAGUAUUGGGCCGUAGAAAGCUAGGGACGUGUUCUUUGUUUCCUGUGCAGGUGCUCUUGACGAGCUGUGCAGAAGCAGGGUCGUGGGCUCCGAGUUUGAUUUAACCGGGUGUGGUCAAUGCGUACACGUCGUAAUUUACUUAAAAUGCUGGGGACCUCGUGCCCGUGGGAAGACCAAAGGGCCCCCUGCGCCUGCGCGGGGGGGGGGGGGGGGGUCCCGUGGAGCGGCCGUGGGCGGCGCUGAGGCCUGACCGCCAGGGGGCGCCGCCGCCUCCGCCCGAAAUGGCGGGCGGGCGUGAGGGGGCUGGCGGGGCCUCCCUGAGCGGCCCCCUCUCUGCUGGCGCUCCGCGGCUGAAUUCCCGUAGCUCUUCUCUGUACGGUUAAAGAACCUCAGAUUUUACAGUAAGGUAUUCUUCCGUGUCAUUCGAGAAAUGCAUCUCGCGUUACCGAAGCUUGCCUCAGCACCGGCCGUUUGAUCUCUGCUGGGGCAGAAGGCAGACAGUACCGAGCGUUGUGUCAUCACAAAUACACCUCAGCUCUAGGAGAUAUUUCUCCAAGCAAAAAUAUAUGAGAGUUUUGCACACAUUAUUGUAUUUGUAAAGUAGAUGGAAUUGUUAUGGAGAAUCUUAAUUAAAAUUUUUUAAAUCUUAGUAUUUUUAAACUUGGUACUAUAAUAGCUCAAUAAAGAUUUAACUUUUUUCAUCACUCGC